ACAAGUCUAGAUGGAGGCACUGAAAAUUUAAUUUUGGCGUCAAAUUAAAUUUUUAGUGCCUCCAUAUAGACUUGU
Molecule: non-coding RNA, 75 nt
Filed under: Bos taurus (domestic cattle)
Lineage: Eukaryota; Metazoa; Chordata; Mammalia; Artiodactyla; Bovidae
Also listed under: 1 other name
Source: miRBase by way of RNAcentral